Molecule: long non-coding RNA, 1238 nt
Organism: Aethalodelphis obliquidens (Pacific white-sided dolphin)
Lineage: Eukaryota; Metazoa; Chordata; Mammalia; Artiodactyla; Delphinidae
Exons: 3
Source: RefSeq, a predicted model, not a curated record
UCAAGCCGGGCACAUGUCCACUCAGCCUUGGGGCAGCACCAUUUUCUACGGGAUCAGCAUCCUGAGAGAGGCUGCAGCCCUUGACCCUGUUGGCCAGGUAGCAGGGCGCAUUCCCAUCCCACAGCAAGAUCAAGUGGUCGACAGCCAAGUCAGGGGUCGUGGAGCCGCCCGACAGAGUCCGGGAGCAGUACCCUCUGUGGACUGGGGGCAGGAAGGCCUGCUUCCUCCCGCCCAGCUGGAGCGCGCGGCUGGGGUGAUGCGCGCGCGCCCGCCGCUCACCGCCGGCGGCCCUGGGCGGCCGACGACGGGAGGGCGCGACGCCGGGGCUGAGCCUCCCAGUCGCCUCAGAGGGUGACACACCCGUCCGCCUCGAGUAAAUGCAGAUUUCCAGAGCAGACUCCUGGGACCGACGUUGGUGUUCUCACCAGGAAGACCCACUGGCGCUGGGAGUUCCCUCAUAUCUGAAGUUCAACAGGGCAUCCAAGAGUAAAGGCUGAGAUGGAAAUAUGGAUCUGAGCCCAGGAGAGACCCAAACUGGAGCUGUGAUUAAAGAGAGUGUCACUGACGCUUGGAAAGUGAAUGGCAUCUCCCAGAUUGGAGAGAAGACAGAGAGGGCUGAGGACAGAACCCUGGGAACACCAGUGGCUUGGCAGUGUAAGGAGAAAGAAGAGAGCACUGUCUGGUAGGGAAGAACGUUCGCAGAUGGAGGUAGUUGGGGUGUUAGGUCCUGGGAGAGGACCACGAUGCCAGAGCCACGAUGAAGCUGCGAUGAGGAUUUGUAAUGGUGGGAUCCUUGUUGCCAACCUUGAGAGAGCAUUUCAGUAGAGUGGGGUGGACGGAAACCAACUUACGUGGUUUGCUGGCUGAAAAGAAGGUGAGGAAUAUAAAACUAUUCUGUCAAGAUGUUUGGAGGCAGGGUAAAAGGGAAGAACCAGAGCACGUUGCUGACAGGGAAGAAGGUGGAUGAGAUUGAUGUUGGAGAGGGGAAGCAGCUGGGAUACAAGGAGGCAAAAGGGACAAAUUAAGAACAGGGAGAAUUUCCUCUUGGAAAGAUAAGCACUUAUCACAGAGUGUAAUUUACAUCUAUUGGUGUGAUUCUGACCACCAGUCCAAGGCUCUGUCUUUUUUCGGUCAUUACUUUAUCCCCAGUGCCCAGGGAAACAUCAGGCACUGGAACUUCCCUGGUGGCGCAGUGGUUAAGAAUCCGCCUGCCAAUGCAGGGCACAUGGGUUCAAGCC